Molecule: long non-coding RNA, 1046 nt
Organism: Equus caballus (horse)
Lineage: Eukaryota; Metazoa; Chordata; Mammalia; Perissodactyla; Equidae
Source: RefSeq, a predicted model, not a curated record
AGAACAUGUGCACUUAACCACUGCGCAACCGGGCUGGUCCCUCAGGUCUUUUCUGAGCAUACAUUUUGCCUGCAUGUGCGUGGAGCUUACCAAGUUUCCUCCAUAUAUGGGGCUGCUUUUGAAUGUCCUAAUUUCCCUGCCUCACCUCAACUUUUCUUCUGGGCCUGAGAUAGUCUGUUGUAUGUGUCCGCCUGUAGUCUCUUGACCCAGAAGUCUGUGUCUGCACUCAUCUUGCAAGUUUUAUAAGUAGUGCCCACCACUUUCCCCACCUAAGUUCUGAGUUAGACAUAACAGACAAGCUCCUUGCAUCAGCCCUUCAGGUAUCCACCAGGCAGUUUAGAAAGAUGUAUACAAUAAUUUGCAAACAAAGUCUGCUUCUCCUAGUUCGAGGGAUGGUACUGGGAACCAGGCUGCCACCACUUCAAGACCAAAACCACUGCCACGCUGGGGUAGGGUAGAGUAAAGGUAUACUCUACUCCAGAUGGUAUGAAGAAAUUCCAAAUUAUAAAAGGGCUUUAGAAAACCAAAUUUCUUCUCUCAAUAUGAAAAGAAGCUCUGGAGCUGAUUUGAGUGUGACAUCAUUGGAGAAUGGCCAUUUACACCUUUCCAGCCAAAGACACCCGGGAUAAAGCCAAGACCUUGACCAUAUUGAGAAGUCAGAUCAGGGAGAUUUUCACCUUGCUACAGGAAAAGAAGGGCUGAUGAGCAGGAAGAGAAUAGAUCUAAUUUAGAGUCUUGAUUCUUUUAGAGGUUAAAAAGCAGACUUCAAACUUCUAUGUGGCCUUUCUUCCUAGUCAUCUUUGGAGAAUCUUCUUUGGGAUACAGUACACAAAGUGGGGAGCUGCCAGUGCUAGAAAGAUGGGUACCAGAAAGUAAGAGCUAAGAGUGGGAAACACAUUAUCACUGUAAUUGAGUUUAACCUCUCUCAGCCUGCCUCUUCCUCUACAAUGUGGAAACAGUAAUAUCUAUUGAAGAGAGUUGGAAUUCUUUUGAUUGGAAAUUACAAGAAGCCAUAUUGAAAUAGGUUAGGUAAAAAAAAAAAAAAA